This is an RNA transcript of Budorcas taxicolor (takin), 3999 nucleotides long. It is a transcript of the gene named inter-alpha-trypsin inhibitor heavy chain 5, with no coding region annotated. The transcript is spliced from 15 exons. The record is from RefSeq and is a predicted model, not a curated record. NCBI's taxonomy places the organism in Eukaryota, Metazoa, Chordata, Mammalia, Artiodactyla, Bovidae.
CCGCCCGGCCUCACCAUGCUCCCGCUGCUCGGGCUGUACUUUGCGCUGCCGCUCUGCGCCGGGUUGCUGGAAGAGGCGAGGAGCUGGGGAGACACAUCGGAUCAAGUUGGACUCAGGAUCCCAAGGCAAGUCAGGCUGUUGCAAAGGCUGAAAGCCAAACCCUUGAUGACGGAGUUCUCGGUGAAGUCUACCAUCAUCUCCCGUUACGCCUUCACCACAGUUGCAUGUAGGAUGCUCAACAGAGGGUCUGGGGACCAGGAAGUCACGUUUCAGAUGCAGAUUCCAGCUGCAGCUUUCAUCACCAACUUCACUGUGCUUAUUGGAGACACUGUGUAUCAGGGAGAAAUUACAGAGAGAGAAAAGAGAAAUGGUGAUAAGGUAAAAGAGAAGAGGAAUAAAACCGUAGAAGAUAAUGGGGAGAAGGGGACGGAGACAUUCAGAGCUUCUGUGGUGCUUCCCAGCAAGGACAAGGCUGCCUUCCUCCUGAGUUACGAGGAGCUCCUGCAGAGACGGCUGGGGAAGUACGAGCACGUGGUCAGCGUGCGACCCCAGCAGCUGGUGGGGCGGCUGAUGGUGGAGGUGACCGUGCUGGAGAGGUCAGGCAUCGCGGAGCUGGAGGUGCUGGGGCUGCAGAACAGCCGGCAGAGGGGCAGUGGCUGGGGCCUAGAUGAUUCUGGGCCACCUCCUUCUACUGUUAUCAACCAAAAUGAAACUUUUGCCAAAGUUGUUUUUAAGCCUAGUGUGGUCCAGCAAGCCAAGAUUGCCCAGAAUGGCAUUUUGGGAGAUUUCAUCGUUAGAUAUGAUGUCAAUAGGGAACAGAGCAUUGGGGACAUCCAGGUUCUAGAUGGCUAUUUCGUGCACUAUUUUGCCCCCAAAGACCUUCCGCCUUUACCUAAGAACGUGGUGUUUGUGCUUGAUAGCAGUGCUUCCAUGGUGGGAACCAAACUCCGCCAGACCAAGGAUGCCCUUUUCACAAUUUUGCAUGACCUGCGACCCCAGGACCAUUUCAAUAUCGUUGGGUUUUCCAACCGGAUCAAAGUGUGGAAGGACCAUUUGGUGUCAGUUACUCCCAACAGCAUCAGAGAUGGCAAAGUCUACAUCCACCACAUGUCGCCAAGCGGAGGCACGGACAUCAACGGGGCCCUGCAGAGGGGCAUCCAGCUGCUUAAUGACUAUGUGGCCCACAACGACAUCGAGGACCGCAGCGUGUCCCUUGUGGUCUUCCUGACAGACGGGAAGCCCACCGUCGGGGAGACCCACACCCUUAAGAUCCUCAACAACACCCGGGAGGCCACCCGGGGCCGGAUCUGCAUCUUCACUGUGGGCAUCGGGGCCGAUGUGGACUUCAAGCUGCUGGAGAAGCUGUCCCUGGAGAACUGCGGGCUCACGCGGCGAGUCCACGAAGAGCACGACGCCCGAGCCCAGCUCAUCGGGUUCUAUGAUGAGAUCAGGACCCCGCUCCUCUCUGACAUCCGCGUGGAUUAUCCUCCCGGCUUGGUGGAGCGUGCCACCAGGACCCUGUUCCCCAACUACUUCAACGGCUCGGAGAUCGUAAUCGCAGGGAAGCUGGUGGACAGGGCAAUGGACCGGCUGCACGUGGAGGUCACGGCCAGCAACAGUAAGAAGUUUGUGGUGCUCAAGAAGGAUGUGCCCGUGGAGCCCCGGAAGGUGGGGAUCGACGUCCCGCAGAGCCCCAGGCCCAGGGGGCAUGGCCAGGAGGAGCCCAACCACCUGGAACGUCUCUGGAGCUACCUGACCCUGAAGGAGCUGCUGAGUGCCUGGCUGCAGAGCAUCGAGGAGCCGGAAAGGGAGCGGCUGAGGCAGGAGGCCCAGGCGCUGGCCGUGAACCGCCGCUUCCUCAUCCCUUUCACAUCCAUGACGCUGAAGUCAGCACCGCGGACAGAGACCCCAGAGGCCGCCUACGGCAUGUCCAGCGCAUCUGUGGCCACUGGACCCGAAACGGUGAUGCAGAGCCUGCGAGGCACACGCCUGCAGCCAGGACCUGCUGUCAAGAAACCAUACAACCCAAGGAUUAAAAUCUCCAAAACAUCAGCGGAUGGAGACCCCCACUUUGUUGUGGAUUUCCCCUUGAGCAACCUCACCGUCUGUUUCAACAUUGAUGGAGAACCCGGGCACAUCCUGAGGCUGGUCUCUGAUCACGCAGACUCUGGUGUGACGGUGAACGGAGAAUUGAUUGGGGCCCCUGCUCCUCCAAACGGCCACAAGAAACAGCGCACGUACUUCCGUACCAUCACCAUCCUCGUCAACAAGCCGGAGAGAUCUUACCUGGAGAUCACCCCCAGCAGGGUCAUCGUGGAUGGUGGGGACAGGCUGGUCCUCCCCUGCAACCAGAGUGCGGUCGUGGGGCGCCGGGGGCUGGAGGUGUCCGUGUCUGCCAAUGCCAACGUCACCGUCAGCAUCCGGGGCACCGUGGCCUUUGUCGUCCUCCUCCACCUCUACAAAAACCCAGCCCCUUACCAGCGCAACCACCUGGGCUUCUACAUCGCCAACGGCCAAGGCCUCUCCAGCAACUGCCACGGCCUGCUAGGUCAAUUCCUGAACCAGGAGGCCAGACUCAUAGGGCUCAGCAAGCGCCCUGCGCAUCCUCCGGUUCCCGAGGCAGGAGAGAGGUCUGAGGCCGUCCUUGAGGUUAAAGGUCGCCAGGUCCCGGUGGUCUGGAAGCAGAGGAGGAUCUACAAUGGGGAGGAGCAGGUGGACUGCUGGUUUGCCCGGAACAACGCUGCCGGCCUGCUUGACGGGGAGUACCAGGGCUACCUGGCGGCCCAUCCUUUUGACUCCGAGACCGCCUUCGGCCCGGGCCCCUCCCGGGGACUCUGACAGCAGCAGCCGCAUGCAAGAGUGCGUGGCAGGGGACCCCGUGGUCUGGUUCUUGGCUGGUUCAGUCUGGUAGCCACCGCCCUGACCUCAGCCCUAGUGGUGGGGAGGUCUGCCGUCUGCUUGAAAAGAGAGUGGGAUCAGGACCUUGAAGGGAGGAGGGGAAUUUUCCCCCUCUCCUCCCCCUCCCUCAUCUCCAGCAGCAAAAGAUGGUGGCACCAAGGGGCCAGUCACAGCUAAAAGCAAGUCUCUGUCUUGUCCCAGCUGGCCUGUCCAUCUCACCGCCAACCCUAAGGUGACUGAUGAAGGAAGGUCGGGUCUGUUUUCUUUGCGGAAAUGGCCAAGUUCGGGCACUCUGCUCUGCGCCUCAUACUAAUGCUUAGGGAUCUCUCUUCCUAGCCUGGCUGUGUCCUCCAGACAUGCGGCCAACCUCUGCCUCAGGGGAGCCUUUCCCUGGCCUCAGCCCCCCACCCCCACCCCCUGGUAUUGCACACAGCAUGCAGACUGGAUCAUUGUAAACCACUCGGCCUGGCUUUAGCAGAGGAUUUUCUUCUGCCUUGAUGUCUCGCCCUUGAAAAUUUGUUUUCAUUUAAAAAAAAGAUCAAUUCAAAAUAGAAACGCUGCAUUCCAGAUACCAACAUUCUUCUAACAGGCUCUGUAAACCCCUUGUCUUUUGCUGGUGAGAUUCUAUUUAUUCCGGAAAGCUGAUAACACACAGGGCGGCCCACGUGGGAGUAUUUCACUGGCCCGUCUCGGAGCUGGAGUGCCGUCCAGCUGCACGAUGAAUCUUCCAUUUGGCUCUUCCAGCCUGGUCCUGCUUCCAGCCUGGUUCGCUCGAGGUCCCCAGGAGGUGAUGAGGCAGGCUCUUGCAGAACUGUGAUGGGGAGGGAUUGGGUCAGCACAGAGCCGACCUACAGGGAUCAAACUCUCAGCAGGAAGCAUGGACAAUGGGGCCCACAUCCCAGACCCAGAGGCCGGAAGUCAGUAUGAGCGAGAGGCUGGGGACAGAUCUGAUUCCAUCAGGACAGGUUACAGUCAGGGGUCGGGGGUGAUAUCAGAAGUCAGUGACGUCACCCUCCUUCUUGCGGGAGCUGUGAAGCCUGCUGCAUCAUCAAGACAGAUUUUUCACCAGAGCCACCAGGGAAGCCCUUUGUGAUGGGAUUA